Long non-coding RNA from Etheostoma spectabile (orangethroat darter), 154 nucleotides. RefSeq lists it as uncharacterized. The transcript has 3 exons. NCBI's taxonomy places the organism in Eukaryota, Metazoa, Chordata, Actinopteri, Perciformes, Percidae. The record is from RefSeq and is a predicted model, not a curated record.
ACCCAUCUGACUGUUCUGAGACCAUAUAGGUCAUUCAGGAACUUUCUCCAGCUGGUUUGUUGUUGGGCGGUCUUCUGCGCUUCCUUCCAGGAUGAUGAUGUUUCCUUGGGUUCUGCCUCCACAAACCUUCCCCAGCUUCCAUGAAAUCUGUAAU